RNAcentral lists this small RNA (27 nucleotides) under Bombyx mori (domestic silkworm). RNAcentral describes it as "ovarian small RNA-26782". Lineage: Eukaryota; Metazoa; Arthropoda; Insecta; Lepidoptera; Bombycidae. The record is from RNAcentral.
UCCAGCAAAGGUGGGAAACGGGAACAC